This 253-nucleotide ribosomal RNA is filed under the name uncultured bacterium. RNAcentral's name for it is "partial 16S ribosomal RNA". It matches the Rfam family "Bacterial small subunit ribosomal RNA", at positions 524 to 776 of the family's 1533-position model. The record is from RNAcentral.
UACGUAGGGUGCAAGCGUUGUCCGGAAUUAUUGGGCGUAAAGAGCUCGUAGGCGGUUUGUCGCGUCUGCUGUGAAAUCCCGAGGCUCAACCUCGGGCCUGCAGUGGGUACGGGCAGACUGGAGUGCGGUAGGGGAGAAUGGAAUUCCUGGUGUAGCGGUGGAAUGCGCAGAUAUCAGGAGGAACACCGAUGGCGAAGUCAGUUCUCUGGGCCGUAACUGACGCUGAGGAGCGAAAGCGUGGGGAGCGAACAGG